UAACUGCUCAGCUGAACCUGAAGCUUGAUGAAGAAGGCCAUCAAUAAUUCAACAAAAACUAACAGAAUAUGGAUCAGAUUCGGACAACGACUUCUAAGACAUUCACACAACAGGCUAAACAAUUCAAAGAGGGAUCUCUGGAUGAUCGAGCAGCAAGUCCAGCAUUAUGUGGGAAAGAUGCUACAGGUGUACACAGAAAAGGCCAUGUUCAUGUACAAGACACGGUUGGAGUUCAUAAAAGAUUAAGCUGCCUCGUGCUAUACAGACGUGGAUAAAAACUUCUAAGGGAGGCUGCCGAAACAAGCUGUCCAAUGAAUGGUGACUACUCAAGAGGAGCCAGAAAGUCGAUUUGUUAUCAAGGCCAGGGUAUUUUGGGAGUUCAUAUGGCCGGGGGGGGGGGUGCCUCCCAGGCCCCCCCCCCUCCCUUGAGAUCUCGACCGUACAAUCGCGUCGAAGAUUUGCACAUGGGUUGUCUAGGACAUAAUUUACAAAAUUGAAUUGAAAAUUAUUUCACGCAAAUUGUUAAGUGAUAAUAAUAAUUUAUGCGUAAUUAGAAUACAAAAUCAUACUUUUUCCUCUAACUCCCUAAAUAAAGCUCCAAAUGUUCUAAUUUUUGGAAUGGAAACUCUUUGUGGUUUCUUAGCAAGUAUACAUGAACAAAAUUGCAAUAUCAAAUCAUUUUCUAUGUAUUAUAUUGUUUUUUGCAAUUAAGUAUUUCUUUGUUUUUUUAACUUUUUUUUUUCAUUGUUUUUUUCAAUGAAAUUUGUUGGGGACUCUUUUGCGAUCAUGAAAAGCAUAAGAAAAAUACAUUUAGACCAGUAAAACCAAAAACAAUAAUACAUUCAUGAUUUUCGGUUGAAAACACAAUUUGCAUUGACUUUGUACACAAAAUCACGUUUUUGAGCAAUUUUUGGUAUGACAUGUACUUACAUAAUGUCACGUUAUUUCAGAACCACGUACGGGGUGACACAAGAUUGGUCUCAAAAGAUGCACAAGACUAGAAAGAGGCAUGUUUUAAAAAAAUUGUGCGACAGCAUGGUCGCAAAAUUUUUGGAAGGGGGGGGGUCAAAUUGGUCCAAUUUAACUAAGGGUUAACAACUGGGAGGCUGUUAGCUGCCUUUUUACUUUUAAGUCUUGCACAUCUUUUGAGACCAAAUUUGCGAUGCCUGGGUAUGGUGUUCGGAAAUUUCGCAACAUUUUUAUGUACUUAUCCAACACAAAUAGUGUUUCUUGCUAAAAAUUCACAAUUAGUAUACCAGUAAUAUACAUUCUUUUAAGAUUAAAGUCAAAUUAUUUAAUUACAUUUAUAAUCAUAAAAGCUUUAAUAAAGUAUUAAAAAACCCAAAGAGUUGUAUGAAAAUUUUCAAAAAGAAUGAAAGGUAAAAGAAAACAAGAUUACAAUGUCCAUUGCUAGGGGGCUAGUCUAUUCAGGAUAAUUGGGAUUUUAUUCAGUUUUUAAUUGACAUAACAUUAUGACAAGAUCCCUCCAUUUAGUGUAUAAACAGCACAUGGCCAUGAUUGAAAUUCAUAUAACAUUAAAGUAUGCAAACCAGGCAGCUACA
Lytechinus pictus (painted urchin) is the source of this 1562-nucleotide long non-coding RNA. RefSeq lists it as uncharacterized. The record is from RefSeq and is a predicted model, not a curated record. The transcript has 3 exons. NCBI's taxonomy places the organism in Eukaryota, Metazoa, Echinodermata, Echinoidea, Temnopleuroida, Toxopneustidae.